Molecule: ribosomal RNA, 293 nt
Filed under: uncultured bacterium
Lineage: Bacteria
Description: partial 16S ribosomal RNA
Rfam family: Bacterial small subunit ribosomal RNA
Source: RNAcentral
GUGCCAGCAGCCGCGGUAAUACGUAGGGUGCGAGCGUUAAUCGGAAUUACUGGGUGUAAAGCGUGCGCAGGCGGUUUGUUAAGACAGAUGUGAAAUCCCCGGGCUUAACCUGGGAAUGGCAGUGGAAACUAGGGGACUUGAAUCUGGCAGAGGGGGGUGGAAUUCCACGUGUAGCAGUGAAAUGCGUGGAGAUGUGGAGGAACACCGAUGGCGAAGGCAGCCCCCUGGGCUGAGAUUGACGCUGAGUGCACGAAAGCGUGGGGAGCAAACAGGAUUAGAUACCCGCGUAGUCC